GAAAUGGGAACACCACUCCAUCUGUCCAGUUCUCCCUUGAUUUUGUUUCACAUACCCAUAUAGUAAAGGUGUGCAUCUCUCCCUUAUGUAGUGGUAUGAGGCAUCACUGCCUUAUUAGACUUAGUUUGGCUGCAUCACGGUCCCUCUGGCUUAUUAGCCAAUCACUGCUCUUCCCAAGGGGAUAAAAGUAGGCCGUGUCCCCCCUCCUGACCUCUCGCUUCCUGCCUUUUCGGCCCGCCUACUUCCGGGUCGUCGUAUGUGCCGCUAGCGCCCGAGCACAGGUAAGCGCACAUUGCCGUGCUGUUUUUUGUAUAUUCGUCCGUGUUUCAUUUAAUUAAAACCGUCGUUCCCUAAUAGACUUGGCGUCUUCACCGCGGUCGAGCCAACCGGUCAGGGGCUGCUUAUUGCUGCAACCAGAGCAUUGUGCUGAAGGCUGACGGUGGUGGUGGUGGUCCUCCUGGGUGGUGGUGGUCCCCUGUGUGAUCCCUUUUUAAGAUUUUCUUUGUUUGCACGUCACGUUUUGCUGUGUGCGUGGGGUGUUCUCCUUUUUCUUUUGGAUGUCACUUCCCCUACCAAACCCCUCUCCCAGCCGGUAAGCCUCAGCCUACGUCCCCCUUUUUGGUUGGGCUCCCUUCUUUCUGUUGCAUUGCCAAUCUUGUGCUUAUCUUUUAAUAAAUAAAAUAUUGUAUAUGAUCAUUGAACGCCGUCUCUCUCUCCCUCCCUGAGUGAACGAACCUGAGUGUCCUUUUCGUUUUGAAGGUAAUAAUUGACCUUUAGUACGGGUCCUUGGGCCCUAACCCAAGGUGGCGUUGUUGGUAUCUGGUGUAUAACGUAGUAAUAGCCCUCGUGUCGCCACACUUAUAUGAUAUGUAUCUACACUAAAAACAAAAAGUAGGGAAAUUUGUGUUUGGUAGAUUAUAUGUUUGUUGUAACAGUGCUUCUUGGCAAUACAUUUUAUACCAUUGGAAAGCCUGUUUAUUUCCCUUUUAUAUGGUGCCACAUUUGUAAGGAACAUGCAUUUGUGGGAUGAGCAGCAGAGCUGAGUAUGUGGGUUGUGCCCAUGAAAAAAUUGCCAAAUCUUCUCUGCCAACAC
RNAcentral lists this long non-coding RNA (1093 nucleotides) under Sparus aurata (gilthead seabream). RNAcentral describes it as "lncRNA (ENSSAUG00010005184.1)". Lineage: Eukaryota; Metazoa; Chordata; Actinopteri; Spariformes; Sparidae. The record is from RNAcentral.